Molecule: ribosomal RNA, 450 nt
Filed under: uncultured bacterium
Lineage: Bacteria
Description: partial 16S ribosomal RNA
Rfam family: Bacterial small subunit ribosomal RNA
Source: RNAcentral
GUGGGGAAUAUUGGACAAUGGGCGAAAGCCUGAUCCAGCCAUGCCGCGUGUGUGAAGAAGGUCUUCGGAUUGUAAAGCACUUUAAGUUGGGAGGAAGGGCAGUAAGUUAAUACCUUGCUGUUUUGACGUUACGAACAGAAUAAGCACCGGCUAACUUCGUGCCAGCAGCCGCGGUAAUACGAAGGGUGCAAGCGUUCAUCGGAAUUACUGGGCGUAAAGCGCGCGUAGGUGGUUCAGCAAGUUGUCGGUGAAAUCCCCGGGCUCAACCUGGGAACUGCGUCCAAAACUACUGAGCUAGAGUACGGUAGAGGGUAGUGGAAUUUCCUGUGUAGCGGUGAAAUGCGUAGAUAUAGGAAGGAACACCAGUGGCGAAGGCGACUACCUGGACUGAUACUGACACUGAGGUGCGAAAGCGUGGGGAGCAAACAGGAUUAGAAACCCGAGUAGUCC